GGCUUCGUAGCUUAGCUGGUAGAGCGCUUGCCGCGUAGAGGCAUGGUAUUUCUGUCCCUGGUUCGAAUCCAGCCGAAGCCC
Molecule: transfer RNA, 81 nt
Filed under: Paragonimus heterotremus
Lineage: Eukaryota; Metazoa; Platyhelminthes; Trematoda; Plagiorchiida; Troglotrematidae
Rfam family: tRNA
About the family: Transfer RNA (tRNA) molecules are approximately 80 nucleotides in length. Their secondary structure includes four short double-helical elements and three loops (D, anti-codon, and T loops). Further hydrogen bonds mediate the characteristic L-shaped molecular structure. tRNAs have two regions of fundamental functional importance: the anti-codon, which is responsible for specific mRNA codon recognition, and the 3' end, to which the tRNAs corresponding amino acid is attached (by aminoacyl-tRNA synthetases). tRNAs cope with the degeneracy of the genetic code in two manners: having more than one tRNA (with a specific anti-codon) for a particular amino acid; and 'wobble' base-pairing, i.e. permitting non-standard base-pairing at the 3rd anti-codon position.
Source: Rfam by way of RNAcentral